This 69-nucleotide transfer RNA is filed under the name Xenocephalus elongatus (bulldog stargazer). RNAcentral describes it as "tRNA-Arg". It matches the Rfam family "tRNA". Rfam says of the family: Transfer RNA (tRNA) molecules are approximately 80 nucleotides in length. Lineage: Eukaryota; Metazoa; Chordata; Actinopteri; Uranoscopiformes; Uranoscopidae. The record is from RNAcentral.
AAGCAAUUAGUUUAAAAAAAACCUUUGAUUUCGGCUCAAAAACUUGCAGUUAGAAUCCGCAAUUGCCUA